ACCAAUUCCAGAGGAUGAUUACGUUCCUGUUGGUAUAAUGGCUCGGACGUGACAUACUAUUCUCUUGUUGUGUGGUUAUAUCCUGAUUGGUGGCUUUAUUGGUGCCAAUCCAAUCCUGGAAAGGCCACAUAUAUUC
Molecule: small nucleolar RNA, 136 nt
Filed under: Dichanthelium oligosanthes
Lineage: Eukaryota; Viridiplantae; Streptophyta; Magnoliopsida; Poales; Poaceae
Source: RNAcentral